Molecule: ribosomal RNA, 253 nt
Filed under: uncultured bacterium
Lineage: Bacteria
Description: partial 16S ribosomal RNA
Rfam family: Bacterial small subunit ribosomal RNA
Source: RNAcentral
UACAGAGGUCUCAAGCGUUGUUCGGAUUCAUUGGGCGUAAAGGGUGCGUAGGUGGCGCUGUAAGUCAGGUGUGAAAUUUCGGAGCUUAACUCCGAAACUGCAUUUGAUACUGCGGUGCUCGAGGACUGGAGAGGAGACUGGAAUUUACGGUGUAGCAGUGAAAUGCGUAGAGAUCGUAAGGAACGCCCGUGGCGAAAGCGAGGUCCUGGACGCCUACUGACGCUGAGACGCGAAAGCCAGGGGAGCGAACGGG